UUAGGAAUCUUCCACAAUGGGCGAAAGCCUGAUGGAGCGACGCCGCGUGAGGGAUGAAGGUUUUCGGAUCGUAAACCUCUGAAUCAGGGACGAAAGACACUUCGGUGGGAUGACGGUACCUGAGUAAUAGCACCGGCUAACUCCGUGCCAGCAGCCGCAGUAAUACGGAGGGUGCAAGCGUUACCCGGAAUCACUGGGCGUAAAGGGCGUGUAGGCGGAUCAGUAAGUCUGGUUUUAAAGACUGCGGCUCAACCGCAGGGAUGGACUGGAUACUGUUGAUCUUGACCUCUGGAGAGGAAACCGGAAUUCCUGGUGUAGCGGUGGAAUGCGUAGAUACCAGGAGGAACACCAAUGGCGAAGGCAGGUUUCUGGACAGAAGGUGACGCUGAGGCGCGAAAGUGUGGGGAGCGAACCGG
Molecule: ribosomal RNA, 416 nt
Filed under: uncultured bacterium
Lineage: Bacteria
Description: bacterial SSU rRNA
Rfam family: Bacterial small subunit ribosomal RNA
Source: RNAcentral